UACGUAGGGGGCAAGCGUUGUCCGGAUUUAUUGGGCGUAAAGAGCGUGUAGGCGGCUAGGUAGGUCUGCUGUGAAAACUCGAGGCUUAACCUCGAGCUGUCGGCGGAAACCAUCUGGCUAGAGUCCGGAAGAGGAGAAUGGAAUUCCCGGUGUAGCGGUGAAAUGCGCAGAUAUCGGGAAGAACACCCGUGGCGAAGGCGGUUCUCUGGGACGGUACUGACGCUGAGACGCGAAAGCGUGGGGAGCGAACAGG
Molecule: ribosomal RNA, 253 nt
Filed under: uncultured bacterium
Lineage: Bacteria
Description: partial 16S ribosomal RNA
Rfam family: Bacterial small subunit ribosomal RNA
Source: RNAcentral